CCAACGGCCCUCUUUAGGGCCACAAUCGCUCACGAAUACUUAAAU
Molecule: non-coding RNA, 45 nt
Organism: Ancylostoma ceylanicum
Lineage: Eukaryota; Metazoa; Nematoda; Chromadorea; Rhabditida; Ancylostomatidae
Source: Rfam